GCUGUUCAACUUCUGGUUUCUUAUGAGCCAUAGAUUGCUUGGAGUUUUUCAGUGUGGAAAAUCAUAGCGUCUAUGAGUGAUGCUAAUCUUAAUUAUCUCUCUCUAAUCACUGCUUCUUCUUUCUUGUUAAUUAGUCGACGUUAAAUAGAGGUGUAAAUUAAUAGCGGGUAGCUGUCUUGUUCCUAAUUUAAAAGGCGAUGGUUCUGAUGGUCCAUCAUGGCAAAUGAUGUUUGCUGGAGAUUUCUUUAAAACACCUCUCAUGAAAUUCUGGAAGCCUUGCCCAAUUCGCUUUGCUAAAACUUUUGUCAGGAUUUUCCCCUGCAGCUUUCUCUUUAAUCUGUGAUCGUGGGAAUUACACUAAUAAACACUCUGCAGUUGGACCAAACUUGUGUCGCUGAGAUAGUCAGCUUGGCCAUGAUAGAUACUUCAUUCAGCUCUUCUGGACUUAGAGUUCAAAAGCGUUUGCCUUUCAUAUUGGUUUUUGGUACUCGGGCUGGGUUUGUUUCAGAACAUGGACGUGUUUUCCCUCCCCAUUCUCUGGGAGAAGUUACUCAGCACUAAAAUGCAAUAGGGUGUUAUGGCUGCCAUGCCAGUUGGCGUCCCCCUCCUGUGGAUGUGUGUGCAUACUUGAGCCCGUGUGUGAUGCGUGUGCGUGCGUGCGUGCGUGCGUGCGUGCGUGCGUGCGUGUGUGUGUGUGUGUGUGUGUGUGUGUGUGUGUGUGUGCAGGCUGUUGACUUGCCCUUUUGACAGUUGUGGAGCCAUGAGAUUCAGCACUUUACUAUCAAGUCAUUUUUCAUCCGUUUGGUUCUCUUUUGGCUUUUAUGUAACGAGAGAAUUUUAUAUGUUCUGAGAAUUCUAAUCAGAAUUUGUUGCACAAUUGGUCAUUAUAACAUUACAUUCUGUGGCCUUGAGGAAAAGCAAAGAUACAGAAAGUGUAGGUAGGCAUGGCUACAGGCUCAUUUGUGAACUGAUAAAGAAUACUGAUGACAAAUAGCCGUGCUUCUGAGAGAAUGAGAAACAUGGAUAAAGUUGUUCACCUGUCAUCCAUAACCAAUAUCAAACACUUUGAAAAUGAUUUUAAUUGAUUGUCUAGCUUUUCAGAUAGUAUACAAAAGAGAUUUCUCUAUGACACCUUUGUGUGCUCUUUUGAAAGAAAGAGUAAGAGAAGGGAAACCCUCUUGCCUGCCCCGGCGCCCUGCCUGUGCACCUGUCCUUGGCUUCUUGUUCCUUGGAUGACCUCUGUGCUCUUUGCUCCCAUCCCUGUGACUCCAGAACUGCUGUCCCUGUCCUGUGUUCAAAGGUUAGCAAGAAACCACCUUUGUCAGAGCACUAGUUUUGUCUUUACUGGAGGAGAGAGAAGGCAGGGCUGCGUGGGACUCGCGCUCGGGGUGGCUAUCUCUGGGAUUCUGCUGUUAGUCCUGGGACCCAUGGCUCACUGUUUGGCUAGUGGGUUUUCAUGACUCUCUCUUCCUCCCCUUUCCCUUCCUUUCACUCCCCUGCUAGCCCUCUGCUCCUCUCCCUCCCCUCCUCCUCUCCCAUGCUCCCCCUCCCCUCCUCCCCCUCCUGUGCUCCCUCUCCUGUGCUCCCCCUCCCCUCCUCCCCCUCUUCUCCCACUCCAUACCACAUGCCACAACAAUCAAGAAACAUAUUUGAAUGUGACAACCUGGACCUGUGUCUAGAGUGUCCUAGACUUGUCCUUUCUAGAAGUCAUUCUGUGACUAGACACACAGCCAGUGAGCCCCUCUGAUUGGGCUCACACAUUAACUGUCCCCCAAGUUCUCUAGCUCUGUAACUCUGCCUGUUGCCAGCUAGAGCAGAGCUGAAACACAGGAUCCAAGUCAGGGCCACCCCAGACCAGCUUGUCCUCAACACUGUGUUACAGUACACCACAUUGACCGACCUUCUGACCCACACAUCCUUGGUCCCUUCUGCCUCAGGACCCCUGUAUGUGCUGUUUGUUUUCCCUCUUUGCCUGCUAGCCCUUCCUAACUGCUAAGUCUUACCGAGAAAUGUCACUUCUGUGUACGUCUCUGCCCUGACCCAUUGCAGGCCCUUCCCUCCAUCUCUAUCCACGUAGAUUGUGUGUCUCUGCCUGAGCCUUUGUCACAGCCUGUCGCCCUUCUGUUUUAACCUGUCUGCUCUUGAGCCUGCACUGCAUGGUGGCCCAGGCUUGUUGGUCUCUCUCCCUCUGGUGUUCCUGGCAUCCAUUCCUGCUGCGCUAUCUUGGAUCUAGUCCAGAGCCUACAAGGCCCUACACAUACAUGGACACCAGCACUUCCCUCCCAUCCAUGCCCUUUGGGGAAAAAUGGAGUCUGAGAAUCUGCAAGCAAAAUGGGUAGUAAGUUCUCGGUGAAUUUACUCAAAGCCAAAGCCUCCUGGCUAUUUCAGGGCUCAAGGUGGCACCCAUUGUACCCGUCCUUUUCAUGUUUUGCUGGGGCUCACACCUUGGCAGAGCUAAUGUCACAGAGGCAGGAGGCCUGGAGAUCUGAGCAUGGACUCUAAGGCAGGGCCACCAGCUCUGGGCAUGGGCCACCCAAGGACACAAGAGCACACCAUGGGCUGCAUGGGUGCCCAGUGCUCAAGAACAGGGAGGAACAGCCCCUGUGCCACUCGGAAGGAGUAGAGGGAUUUCAGGGUAAAGUGGGGGGCAGAUGCAGAACCAGACCCUGAGGGCCAAGCUUAUGGGUGACUAAGAACAGGGGGGUGGGGGGGGGAGCCCUGGUGCUGCAUGGAAGUGAAGGACAUGCUCUGCUCAGGGCAUCCAAAUUCUCUGAAUAAAGUCUCUGUCAGCCACUGGGUCAGAAUCCAGCCAGAAGGGCUGCUUCCAGACAGUGCCCCACCCUGACCCCAGGACCGAGAGAAGCGCCAAGUGAGAGGUCUUCAGCCAAAGCUGAGGGACUUGAGGCUGAUGUCUCUAAGUGACAAGCCAGGCCCAGCCAGAACAAAGCCUAAGCCCAGGGAAGUGCCUGGAGCAGCAUGAGAUGGGCAGACAGCAGUGUUGGUGUUUCAGAAGUGUCCUCUGCAGUCUGAGGCUCUCCUGCCAAAGCUGGGGGAAUCUGAAAGAAGGCUAACAUCAACUCCCUUGUGGUAAGAGACUGUGGCGCCUGAAUCAUAGCUUUGCUGAAGGCUUUGUCUACGUUUGUUCAGUUCUCCAGGAAUCCAAAGCCCCUCCUAGAUGUGGCCCCAACAGUUCUCUGGGCUUCUGCAGGGUAUCAUGCAUCCUAAGGUCCAGUUACAUCUUGAUUUAUUACAUCUUGAUUUAGGGACUCUUAACACUGCAUCCCGUGGCAGGGGCUGAGUGUAAGCAGCUGCUGAUCCUAAGAAACAAGGUGCUGUGAUAAAUGCCUAUAAUCCCAGCUCUGGGAGGCUGAGGCAGGAGGCUAGUGAUCUUAAGCUUAGUCUGAGUUGCUUAGUGAAAUUGUGUCACAAAAAACAACAACAACAACA
RNAcentral lists this long non-coding RNA (3447 nucleotides) under Mus musculus (house mouse). Its description in RNAcentral is "long non-coding RNA chr2:179531196-179534643". The record is from RNAcentral. Lineage: Eukaryota; Metazoa; Chordata; Mammalia; Rodentia; Muridae.